This 253-nucleotide ribosomal RNA is filed under the name uncultured bacterium. RNAcentral's name for it is "partial 16S ribosomal RNA". It matches the Rfam family "Bacterial small subunit ribosomal RNA", at positions 524 to 776 of the family's 1533-position model. The record is from RNAcentral.
GACGUAGGAGGCGAGCGUUGUCCGGAUUCAUUGGGCGUAAAGAGCUUGUAGGCGGUUUGUCGCGUCUGCUGUGAAAUUUCGGGGCUCAACCCCGAACUUGCAGUGGGUACGGGCAGACUAGAGUGUGGUAGGGGAGACUGGAAUUCCUGGUGUAGCGGUGAAAUGCGCAGAUAUCAGGAGGAACACCGAUGGCGAAGGCAGGUCUCUGGGCCACUACUGACGCUGAGAAGCGAAAGCAUGGGGAGCGAACAGG